AGCGAACGUUAGCGGCGCGCCUAACACAUGCAAGUCGCACGAGAAACGGAGCAAUCCGCGGUACAGUGGCGCACGGGUGAGUAACACGUGGAUGACCUUCCCUGGAGUGGUGGAUAACCUGCCGAAAGGCGGGCUAAUACAGCAUGGGACCACGACGCUUUGGCGAUGUGGUGAAAGCGGGCCUCUAUACAUAAGCUCGCGCUCCGGGACGGGUCCGCGUCCCAUCAGCUAGUUGGUGAGGUAACGGCUCACCAAGGCAACGACGGGUAGCUGGUCUGAGAGGAUGGCCAGCCACACUGGAACUGAGACACGGUCCAGACUCCUACGGGAGGCAGCAGUGGGGAAUCUUGCGCAAUGGGCGAAAGCCUGACGCAGCGACGCCGCGUGGGCGAAGAAGGCCUCGG
RNAcentral lists this ribosomal RNA (404 nucleotides) under uncultured bacterium. Its description in RNAcentral is "bacterial SSU rRNA". It matches the Rfam family "Bacterial small subunit ribosomal RNA", at positions 30 to 420 of the family's 1533-position model. The record is from RNAcentral.